UACGUAGGGGGCGAGCGUUGUCCGGAAUUAUUGGGCGUGAAGCGCGCGCAGGCGGUCUUUUAAGUCUGAUGUGAAAUCUUGUGGCUUAACCACAAGCGGUCAUUGGAAACUGGGAGACUUGAGUACAGAAGAGGAGAGUGGAAUUCCACGUGUAGCGGUGAAAUGCGUAGAGAUGUGGAGGAACACCAGUGGCGAAGGCGACUCUCUGGUCUGUAACUGACGCUGAGGCUCGAAAGCGUGGGGAGCAAACAGG
This 253-nucleotide ribosomal RNA is filed under the name uncultured bacterium. Its description in RNAcentral is "partial 16S ribosomal RNA". It matches the Rfam family "Bacterial small subunit ribosomal RNA", at positions 524 to 776 of the family's 1533-position model. The record is from RNAcentral.